Molecule: transfer RNA, 78 nt
Filed under: Klebsiella variicola
Lineage: Bacteria; Pseudomonadati; Pseudomonadota; Gammaproteobacteria; Enterobacterales; Enterobacteriaceae
Also listed under: 33 other names
Description: tRNA-Val
Rfam family: tRNA
About the family: Transfer RNA (tRNA) molecules are approximately 80 nucleotides in length. Their secondary structure includes four short double-helical elements and three loops (D, anti-codon, and T loops). Further hydrogen bonds mediate the characteristic L-shaped molecular structure. tRNAs have two regions of fundamental functional importance: the anti-codon, which is responsible for specific mRNA codon recognition, and the 3' end, to which the tRNAs corresponding amino acid is attached (by aminoacyl-tRNA synthetases). tRNAs cope with the degeneracy of the genetic code in two manners: having more than one tRNA (with a specific anti-codon) for a particular amino acid; and 'wobble' base-pairing, i.e. permitting non-standard base-pairing at the 3rd anti-codon position.
Source: RNAcentral
UGGGUGAUUAGCUCAGCUGGGAGAGCACCUCCCUUACAAGGAGGGGGUCGGCGGUUCGAUCCCGUCAUCACCCACCAC